Long non-coding RNA from Nicotiana tabacum (common tobacco), 664 nucleotides. RefSeq lists it as uncharacterized. Lineage: Eukaryota; Viridiplantae; Streptophyta; Magnoliopsida; Solanales; Solanaceae. The record is from RefSeq and is a predicted model, not a curated record.
GCGUUGAAUUCGAAUGGGAUUUUGUUUUCUCUUUCUUUUUGGGUAACAAUCCCAAUGAGAUUACUAUUUACAUUAGCUAACUGCCUUAAAUUCCUUUCUUACAUUGGUCCCUUCAUAUUCUGUUCACAUAUAUCAAAAUCACAAAAACAUUUCUUACAAAUUGGGCUGUGUUCACCUAUAUCAAAUUCACAAAAACAGUUUCUCUCUACAGCAGCUUAAAAUCUUGCAACCCAUCACUUCCCACCACCAAUCUCUCUGAAUGGGAAGUAACGGAAAUAGUUGGGCGGAUCAGUGGGGCAGUCAAAACGACGUCGGAUAUGAAGAUGAUGGCGGCAAAGGAAAAAGCAGCGGCAAGAAGAUGGAGAAGGUAACGGCGGCGGCAUCGGCGAGUUUUGACAAGGCAAAGGCGGCGGCUGUUGUAGGAGCGAAGAAGGUGAAGAGUGGUACUUCUCUUGGGUUUAAAUGGAUUAAAGACAAGUGCCAAAAGGGAAACUCUACAAAGUAAAUUGAGGGGAAAAAACAAAGAGAAAAUAGAUAAGGGGGAUGAAAAGGGAAGAAUGAUUGGUGAAGGAUUUUUUAAUUAGUUUCUCAGCUGUAUCAAAGGGCUACCUAUGCUUUAUCAUAAUGGAUUGUUUGAUGAAUGAAAAUUGUGCUUUUUCAUGCA